RNAcentral lists this ribosomal RNA (254 nucleotides) under uncultured bacterium. RNAcentral's name for it is "partial 16S ribosomal RNA". It matches the Rfam family "Bacterial small subunit ribosomal RNA", at positions 524 to 776 of the family's 1533-position model. The record is from RNAcentral.
CACGUAGGCACCAAGCGUUGUCCGGAUUUAUUGGGCGUAAAGAGCUCGUAGGCGGUUCGGCAAGUCGGGUGUGAAAUUUCGAGGCUCAACCUCGAAACGCCACUCGAUACUGCUGUGACUGGAGUCCGGUAGAGGAGUGCGGAAUUCCUGGUGUAGCGGUGAAAUGCGCAGAUAUCAGGAGGAACACCAACGGCGAAGGCAGCACUCUGGGCCGGUACUGACGCUGAGGAGCGAAAGCGUGGGGAGCAAACAGG